Molecule: long non-coding RNA, 463 nt
Organism: Biomphalaria glabrata
Lineage: Eukaryota; Metazoa; Mollusca; Gastropoda; Planorbidae
Exons: 2
Source: RefSeq, a predicted model, not a curated record
UUCUUUUAUUGUGAAUGAGACUAAAAUACAUUUUAGUUUGAGCGGUUAAAAUCAAAUAUGAUUUUGCCAUGAGAAUAAUGCCGAAACUGGCAUAAUAGUCAAACAUUGUCGUCUGGCUAAUACUAGAUCCACAAAUUUUUGUACAUUUCGUUGGUACAUUUUCUCAUCUAGACUCUAAUUUGGAAUAUUAUUAUUAAUUGAAAGAUGAAUGAAGAUUACUGCCAGUGGAGAACAUUUGUGAGAAGUGUAUGACGUGCCCAUGAGAUGCCACAUUGCUAUGAUGAACUGUUACUGUUUACUAAUGAAGAUGAUUCUGGAAUUUUGGAAGUAACAGUGUAAUGUUAUGAACAUUGACAUGAACAUGAGGAACUGUCAAGCCAAGAUGAAGAUGUCAAGAUUUUAUGUUUGUUGUCUUCCCCUUAAAUUAAAAAUGCCCUUGUAAGACUUGACAGUAGUGGAAAAA